This is a non-coding RNA of Phasianus colchicus (ring-necked pheasant), 245 nucleotides long. Lineage: Eukaryota; Metazoa; Chordata; Aves; Galliformes; Phasianidae. The record is from RefSeq and is a predicted model, not a curated record.
UAGGGCUGUGUGUUCUUUGCGAGCGUCCUCCCUGUGCUCCAGCUCCUGUGUGAAGAUAACCCGUGGAGAUUCAGCCCGUGGAGACGAGUCCUACAUUUGCUCUUUUCUGCCGAAUCCUCUUAGGACUCCAGAACCUUCCAAGAUGAGCAUGCACCCCUCUAAAGCUUCAGGACAGUGACAAAAAAAGAGGAAGAGACAUCUGAUCUGCGGCAUGACUAGAACUGGACAUUUUGGGGGCCUAUCAG